ACUCCUACGGGAGGCAGCAGUGGGGAAUAUUGCACAAUGGGCGCAAGCCUGAUGCAGCCAUGCCGCGUGUAUGAAGAAGGCCUUCGGGUUGUAAAGUACUUUCAGCAGUGAGGAAGGCGGGUACGUUAAUAGCGUGCUUGUUUGUACGUUAGCUGCAGAAGAAGCACCGGCUAACUCCGUGCCAGCAGCCGCGGUAAUACGGAGGGUGCGAGCGUUAAUCGGAAUUACUGGGCGUAAGCGCAUGCAGGUGGUUUGUUAAGUCAGAUGUGAAAGCCCGGGGCUCAACCUCGGAAUUGCAUUUGAAACUGGCAGACUAGAGUACUGUAGAGGGGGGUAGAAUUUCAGGUGUAGCGGUGAAAUGCGUAGAGAUCUGAAGGAAUACCGGUGGCGAAGGCGGCCCCCUGGACAGAUACUGACACUCAGAUGCGAAAGCGUGGGGAGCAAACAGGAUUAGAUACCCUGGUAGGAUAGCG
This 473-nucleotide ribosomal RNA is filed under the name uncultured bacterium. RNAcentral describes it as "bacterial SSU rRNA". It matches the Rfam family "Bacterial small subunit ribosomal RNA", at positions 335 to 799 of the family's 1533-position model. The record is from RNAcentral.